RNAcentral lists this unclassified non-coding RNA (21 nucleotides) under Mus musculus (house mouse). RNAcentral describes it as "oocyte_clustered_small_RNA12271". Lineage: Eukaryota; Metazoa; Chordata; Mammalia; Rodentia; Muridae. The record is from RNAcentral.
UCAAGCAGAGGGGACAGUCAG